ACUGGACAGCUCUCCCCAAACACCCGGGACCCGGCACUGGACAGCUCUCCCCAAACACCCGGGACCCGGCACUGGACAGCUCUUCCCAAACACCUGGGUCCCAGCACUGGACAGCUCUCCACAGAAACACCCGGGACCUGGCACUGGACAGCUCUCCCCAAACACCCGGGACCCGGCACUGGACAGCUCUUCCCAAACACCUGGGUCCCAGCACUGGACAGCUCUCCACAGAAACACCCGGAACCCGGAACUGAACAACUCUCCACAGAAACACCCGGAACUCGGCACUGGACAGCUCUCCACAGAAACACCCGGGACCUGGCACUGGACAGCUCUCCACAGAAACACCCGGGACCCGGCACUGGACAGCUCUCCACAGAAACACCCAGGUCCCGGCACUGGACAGCUCUCCCCAAACACCCGGGACCCGGCACUGGACAGCUCUUCCCAAACACCUGGGUCCCAGCACUGGACAGCUCUCCACAGAAACACCCGGGACCCAGCACUGGACAGCUCUCCCCACAGACACCUGGAACAGCUGUGGAGCACAUGCAGGUCACCCUCAGCUACAAAGAGCCCCCUGCUGUGCAUGGAGGAAACAACGGGCCCCAGGUGUCUGUGCCACCAAAUGGGGGUCCCCAGGAUCUCCAUGUGCAGCUGGCUCUAGGGUCAGGCUUCUCCUCAGCACCCAGGACCCCCAAGGACCCCAUCUUCAAGGCUCCUGGCCCACCCAGGGCCACUGGACAUGUGGCCUUUGCCAACUUGCUAGAACCUGGGUGAGCUCGGGCAGAGAAACUCGAUGGAAGCGGAAGGAGAGGUGAGAGUGGCACACCCCCCGGGAAGACGGAACUCGACGGUCUCAUGACCAUGAGUGAAGCCCAGAGCCGAUCGCAGCCCUGUUUGUUUAGAAUCAAGCACUGCUCAGAGGAGACGCCAUAACAAACAAACGUCAGGAUGUCGGGAGGAAAGGAGUGGACCCACAGCUCAGACCUGUGGGGGCGGAGGGUGGGACUGGAGAGGCUCACACCCCACGUGCAGAUGCCAAAUGCGAGGAGACUGAGCAUCACAGACGAAGGUCCCACAAGAGAGCUUGGAAACAACAGCAGAGGGAAAUCUCAGGCAAGGACAGAUUCACAAGCCACAGACAGAGACUCACAAGCCAGAGAUGGAGAUCGACAAGCCAGAGGCCCAGAAAGCCACUCUACCGAUGGGAAGUGAAAUCUGGCAGGGGCAGGUUCAGGAGAGGGGCAGAUGCAGGAGGAGCAGCGCCAGGGCUGGGGCUGGAGGGUAGCCCUGGGGCUUGCUGGGUGACCUCGGCCAGCAGACAAAGCACUCAGGAACUGGCAGCCUCCUGUACACGGGACGUUGCUGCUAAGGAGCUAGAAUCUGCAUCUGCCCCCAACCCGCCCCCCGCCCCUGUGGCCAGCCUCCCUCUGCAGCCUCUCCCUGGCCUCUUCCACCCGGCCUCCUGCCCUGCUCAAGCCUCCCCGCCCACCCCCCCCCGGCUUCCUAAGGCCUCCCUGUCCUGAAUGCCUGCUCUAACGAUCACCCGGGCUUGGGUGCCAGGGCCUCAGGCCUGGCAGCGCUGGUGACAGCCGAGUCCCUGUAGGUGAGUGGCCCCUGCGCCUCUCUGAGGUGACCUCAGAGGCGCUGCUGGGCCAUGGGCGCUGCUGGGUGGGUCUUCCCCACCCCAGGGCCAUGAGGAAGACCGCCCCUCACAGGCCACCCUGGAUGCAGUCUGUGGCAGCCUCUACUGCAGGACCCUGUGGCCAUGGGGGGGCCCGCACAGCUUCCCACCCAGGGAGGCCUCCUCACCCCAACACCAGCCCUGGGGCCCUAACUGGGAGGAGAGGCCCCAGUUCAGCAGGUGUGGCCACAGUCCACCAGGUCUCCACACCAAAGUCCUUCCCUGGGCAUGGAAGGACGUCUCCUGCACCAAGCGGGACAGUGGCAGAAAGCUGGAGGUGGAAGAGCACCUGGGCCUGGAGAUGGAGCCAGUGCAGACUGGGAGGCAUCCACGCUGGGCUGUGUGUCCGUGGCGUGGCCCGGUGGCUGUGUGGGGGCUGCAGGCCCUUCCCCAUCUCUGAGCCUCAGGGCCCUGCAUCCACCAGGGUCCACCCAGCCUCGCCUGGGCUCUGUGCCACCCUCGUGCCAGCAGCCAUCACUGGGAGCUGGAGCAUUCAGACGAAUGGCCAGUCUCUGCCUAACAGCCAGUUUUGCCAGCUGUGACUCGACCCCACACCCACUCACCUGCUGUCGCUCCCGCGUGGACCACAGGGUCUGCAGGGUCUGCAGGAGCAGGAGGGGGUCCUGGCCUGUGGGGACAAGACGACAACCAUGGGAGGAGCAGGUGCAGGGGCAGGGGCUGCCGCACAGCCCACCAGGAAGCCCCUCCCACUGACCCCCAAGGCCCAGGGCUCCUCUGGACCUGGGGUGAGCCCUCCCCACCUCUGGCACACACAGAACACAUCUGCCAGUUGCCGCAGUGCCCACCGUGGCCUGGGCUCACUGCCGUCCCUUCCCUGUGGCCUGCCCCUCCCCUCAGCCCCCUGGCAGCACUUCCACGCUCAGCCCUGGGAGCUGGGCCUCAUCCUCCAGCUGCAGUCACAGAGCAGCCCCAGGGCUGGGUCCUCUGCUGUCUAGGCCUUUAUGGGCCUGAGCCUCACCUGCUCCUCCCAGCACCCUCAGUAACCUCAUCAGCAUCUUCUUGCCCAGACCCUGUUCCCCACCAUGAGGACCCCAAGUCUCUACCCUCCCUGUAGCUCUUUAGGCCUCUGUCACUGCCCCUGCUGCCCCGCCCCUCCUUCCAACCCUGCUUGGGAGGCCGCCCCCACCUCAUGGUGGGGGCUGCAAACGUGCAACCAGGGACGCUGCCCCAUAAGGACAGAGCCACUAGAGUGAGGCCCAAGGGAGGUUUUCAGAAAGAAUCUGGGGGCCCCGUGGCUUGGCCUGGAGGCUUGUGGUGCCUCAACCCCACCCAGGGGAGCAGGGACACACCCAGGCUCCAUCAUGUGAUGGGGUCAGGUCGGAGGCCAGGGAGGGGCAGCUGCCUGCAGGGACUCCACAGGUACAGCCUUUGGGCGGGGGGCGGGGGGCAGGAGCCCGGUGGAUUCAGCAGUGAACUCCCCCGGGACAUGGGGGCCAUGGAAACUGCUGGGCCCCCCUGGAGAGCAGGAUGGGAACAGAGAAGGCCCUGGAGCUGGGUGAGGGAAGCUAAGGACUCAUGCAGAUCAGAUAAGACCCCAGCAGCUGUGUUCUGCCACAUGUGCUGAGGAGCGUGCGUGACGGGGUCACUCCGGAACACCAGGCUGACUUAACUCGAGAGCCCGCGGUGUGGUUCAGCCCAGGACUGGAAUAGAGGACAGAACCACGUGGCCCUUUCUGCAGACACAGAGCAAACGUUCUCAAAUUCAGUUCAGCUCAGGGUUUAAGAAAUAACUCGGCUAGGACGGGAAGGGAGCGCCCCGAACUGGGUAAAAGCCACCCACGAGCAUGAAGCAUGGCACUCAGGGCGGCACACGAGGACGUCUGACGGCAGGUGGCAUCCAGCAGGGAAGGGAAACAGAAACAUGAGGACCUGCCGACAACGUGAUUGAUUAUGCAGAAAGCCAUGAAGGAUCAAAGGCUACACUCUCAGAAUUUACCCAUGGGGGCCGGGCACGGUGGCUCACGGCUGUCAUCCCAGCAGUUUGGGAGCCCGGGGCAGGCGGUUCAUCUGAGGUCAGGAGUUCGAGACCAGCCUUGCCAACAAGGUGAAACUCCGUCUCGACUAAAAAUACCAAAAAAUUAGCCAGGCAUGUGGUAUGUGCUUGUAAUCCCAGCUACUUGGGAGGCUAAGGCAGGAGAAUCACUUGAA
Non-coding RNA from Callithrix jacchus (white-tufted-ear marmoset), 3856 nucleotides. Lineage: Eukaryota; Metazoa; Chordata; Mammalia; Primates; Cebidae. The record is from RefSeq and is a predicted model, not a curated record.